AACAGGAUUAGAUACCCUGGUAGUCCACGCCCUAAACGAUGUCUACUAGUUGUCGGGUUUUAAUUAACUUGGUAACGCAGCUAACGCGUGAAGUAGACCGCCUGGGGAGUACGGUCGCAAGAUUAAAACUCAAAGGAAUUGACGGGGACCCGCACAAGCGGUGGAUGAUGUGGAUUAAUUCGAUGCAACGCGAAAAACCUUACCUACCCUUGACAUGUACGGAAGACCGAAGAGAUUUGGUUGUGCUCGAAAGAGAACCGUAACACAGGUGCUGCAUGGCUGUCGUCAGCUCGUGUCGUGAGAUGUUGGGUUAAGUCCCGCAACGAGCGCAACCCUUGUCAUUAGUUGCUACAUUCAGUUGAGCACUCUAAUGAGACUGCCGGUGACAAACCGGAGGAAGGUGGGGAUGACGUCAAGUCCUCAUGGCCCUUAUGGGUAGGGCUUCACACGUCAUACAAUGGUACAUACAGAGGGCCGCCAACCCGCGAGGGGGAGCUAAUCCCAGAAAGUGUAUCGUAGUCCGGAUCGCAGUCUGCAACUCGACUGCGUGAAGUUGGAAUCGCUAGUAAUCGCGGAUCAGCAUGUCGCGGUGAAUACGUUCCCGGGUCUUGUACACACCGCCCGUCACACCAUGGGAGCGGGUUUUACCAGAAGUAGGUAGCUUAACCGCAAGGAGGGCGCUUACCACGGUAGGAUUCGUGACUGGGGUGAAGUCGUAACAAGGUAACC
This 729-nucleotide ribosomal RNA is filed under the name uncultured Massilia sp. Its description in RNAcentral is "bacterial SSU rRNA". It matches the Rfam family "Bacterial small subunit ribosomal RNA", at positions 771 to 1501 of the family's 1533-position model. Lineage: Bacteria; Pseudomonadati; Pseudomonadota; Betaproteobacteria; Burkholderiales; Oxalobacteraceae. The record is from RNAcentral.